RNAcentral lists this ribosomal RNA (305 nucleotides) under uncultured bacterium. RNAcentral's name for it is "bacterial SSU rRNA". It matches the Rfam family "Bacterial small subunit ribosomal RNA", at positions 333 to 636 of the family's 1533-position model. The record is from RNAcentral.
UGUGACCUACGGGACGCAGCAGUGAGGAAUAUUGGUCAAUGGGCGAGAGCCUGAACCAGCCAAGUCGCGUGAGGGAAGACGGUCCUAUGGAUUGUAACCCUCUUUUGUCAAGGGACAAAAUCAGGCUCGAGAGCCUGACCGAGGGUACUUGAUGAAAAAGCAUCGGCUAACUCCGUGCCAGCAGCCGCGGUAAUACGGAGGAUGCGAGCGUUAUCCGGAUUUAUUGGGUUUAAAGGGUGCGUAGGCGGACUGUUAAGUCAGCGUUAAAAGCCCGGGGCUCAACCCCGGCGAGCCGUUGAAACUGG